This 484-nucleotide ribosomal RNA is filed under the name uncultured bacterium. Its description in RNAcentral is "partial 16S ribosomal RNA". It matches the Rfam family "Bacterial small subunit ribosomal RNA", at positions 30 to 507 of the family's 1533-position model. The record is from RNAcentral.
AUUGAACGCUGGCGGCAUGCUUUACACAUGCAAGUCGAACGGCAGCACGGGCUUCGGCCUGGUGGCGAGUGGCGAACGGGUGAGUAAUAUAUCGGAACGUACCCAGAAGUGGGGGAUAACGUAGCGAAAGUUACGCUAAUACCGCAUACGAUCUAUGGAUGAAAGCAGGGGACCGCAAGGCCUUGUGCUCCUGGAGCGGCCGAUAUCUGAUUAGCUAGUUGGUGAGGUAAAGGCUCACCAAGGCGACGAUCAGUAGCUGGUCUGAGAGGACGACCAGCCACACUGGAACUGAGACACGGUCCAGACUCCUACGGGAGGCAGCAGUGGGGAAUUUUGGACAAUGGGCGCAAGCCUGAUCCAGCAAUGCCGCGUGAGUGAAGAAGGCCUUCGGGUUGUAAAGCUCUUUUGUCAGGGAAGAAACGGUAGAGGCUAAUAUCCUUUGCUAAUGACGGUACCUGAAGAAUAAGCACCGGCUAACUACGUA